GGGGAUGUAGCUUAAUUGGUAGAGUGCUGCCUUGCACGCACAGAGCCCUGGGUUUGAUCCCCAGCACCACAA
RNAcentral lists this transfer RNA (72 nucleotides) under Marmota marmota marmota (Alpine marmot). It matches the Rfam family "tRNA". From Rfam's summary of the family: Transfer RNA (tRNA) molecules are approximately 80 nucleotides in length. RNAcentral also lists the same sequence under 1 other name. Lineage: Eukaryota; Metazoa; Chordata; Mammalia; Rodentia; Sciuridae. The record is from Rfam by way of RNAcentral.